This 300-nucleotide ribosomal RNA is filed under the name Brevibacterium sp. RNAcentral describes it as "bacterial SSU rRNA". It matches the Rfam family "Bacterial small subunit ribosomal RNA", at positions 275 to 587 of the family's 1533-position model. Lineage: Bacteria; Bacillati; Actinomycetota; Actinomycetes; Micrococcales; Brevibacteriaceae. The record is from RNAcentral.
GACAACGGGUAGCCGGCCUGAGAGGGCGUCCGGCCGCUCUGGGACUGAGACACCGUCCAGACUCCUACGGGAGGCAGCGGCGGGGAAGAUUGCGCACUGGGGGGAACCCUGUUGCACCGACGCCGCGUGCGGGAUGACGGCCUUCGGGUUGUAAACCUUUUUCAGUAGGAAAGAAGCGAAAGUGACGGUACCUGCAGAAGAAGUACCGGCUAACUACAUGCCAGAAUCCUCGGUAAUACCUAGGGUACAAGCGCUGUCCGGAAUUAUUGGGCGUAAAGAGCUCGUAGGUGGUUGGUCACC